RNAcentral lists this ribosomal RNA (496 nucleotides) under uncultured bacterium. Its description in RNAcentral is "partial 16S ribosomal RNA". It matches the Rfam family "Bacterial small subunit ribosomal RNA", at positions 30 to 523 of the family's 1533-position model. The record is from RNAcentral.
AUUGAACGCUGGCGGCAUGCCUUACACAUGCAAGUCGAACGGUAGAGUAGCAAUACUUGAGAGUGGCGAACGGGUGAGUAAUGCAUCGGAACAUGCCCAGUCGUGGGGGAUAAAGUAGCGAAAGUUACGCUAAUACCGCAUACGAUCUAUGGAUGAAAGCGGGGGACUCGCAAAAGCCUCGCGCGAUUGGCGUGGCCGAGGUUAGAGUAGGUAGUUGGUGGGGUAAAAGCCCUCCAAUCCAACGAGCUGUAGCGGGUCUGAGAGGACGACCAGCCACACUGGGAGUGAGACUCGGCCCAGACUCCUACGGGAGGCAGCAGUGGGGAAUUUUAGACAAUGGACGAGAGGCUGAUCCAGCAAUGCCGCGUGCAGGACGAAGGCCUUCGGGUUGUAAACGGCUUUUGUACGGAGCGAAAAGCUUUGGAUUAAUACUCCGAGGUCAUGACGGUACCGUAAGAAUAAGCACCGGCUAACUACGUGCCAGCAGCCGCAGUAA